This 391-nucleotide unclassified non-coding RNA is filed under the name soil metagenome. RNAcentral's name for it is "partial contains 5.8S ribosomal RNA, internal transcribed spacer 2, and large subunit ribosomal RNA". The stretch from base 1 to 122 matches the Rfam family "5.8S ribosomal RNA", at positions 35 to 154 of the family's 154-position model. The record is from RNAcentral.
GAUGAAGAACGUAGCGAAAUGCGAUACUUGGUGUGAAUUGCAGAAUCCCGUGAACCGUCGAGUCUUUGAACGCAAGUUGCGCCCGAAGCCACUAGGCCGAGGGCACGCCUGCCUGGGCGUCACACGCCGUUGCCCCCCCAUCUACUCCUUCGGGAUUGCGGGGGGGCGGAUGAUGGCCUCCCGUGCGCCUAGCCGCGCGGUUGGCAUAAAUACCAAGUCCUCGGCGACGCACGCCACGACAAUCGGUGGUUGCGAAACCUCGGUUGCCCGUCGUGUGCGUUCGUCGCGCAUCGAGGGCUCGAAAAAAUGCUCGGCUCCGGCUGGGCUUUCAACGCGACCCCAGGUCAGGCGGGGUUACCCGCUGAAUUUAAGCAUAUCAAUAAGCGGAGGA